UACGUAGGGUGCGAGCGUUAAUCGGAAUUACUGGGCGUAAAGCGUGCGCAGGCGGUGAGCUGUGUCCGAUGUGAAAGCCCCGGGCUUAACCUGGGAAUGGCAUUGGAAACUGGCUCGCUGGAGUGUGGCAGAGGGGGGUGGAAUUCCGCGUGUAGCAGUGAAAUGCGUAGAGAUGCGGAGGAACACCGAUGGCGAAGGCAGCCCCUGGGCUAACACUGACGCUCAGGCACGAAAGCGUGGGGAGCAAACAGG
This 252-nucleotide ribosomal RNA is filed under the name uncultured bacterium. RNAcentral's name for it is "partial 16S ribosomal RNA". It matches the Rfam family "Bacterial small subunit ribosomal RNA", at positions 524 to 776 of the family's 1533-position model. The record is from RNAcentral.